RNAcentral lists this long non-coding RNA (1318 nucleotides) under Rattus norvegicus (Norway rat). RNAcentral describes it as "long non-coding RNA NONRATT011592". The record is from RNAcentral. Lineage: Eukaryota; Metazoa; Chordata; Mammalia; Rodentia; Muridae.
GACAUCUCCAUCUUGCUUUAUUAGGGAUGUGACAAAUCUUUGAUUUGUAUUCGAUUCGUACACGGAUAGUGCCAUUUCAACCCCCCAAUUUUGCAAUUCGGUUGAUUAUCCCCCCAAUAAAAUUUUGGAUUUUCAUAAUUGUUCUUUCUUGGUAAAGUGGCAUUUAUUGUGACCGUUAACAAGUGCUGCGGCACAUCUACACAUGUCAUGCCAUGUGGGAGGCACAUCACUGAGGGCUGUGAUGGACAAUCAGGGUCCAAGUGCAAUAAAUCACCAAGGACUAGAUGAGAGGCCUCUGGACUUUGUGAGGGAAAGAAGAAAUAUAUAUAUAUAUAUGGAAAAAGAAGCCAGAGAAGAGUGUGGAAAUUUUCUUUUAAAACUGCGUGUAAUACAAAUCCAGCCAAAACAAUAGUGCAAAAAGUUACAAAGCAACAAUCUCUUGGGCUAAUGCGGUAGGCUAUACAGAGACAGCCACGAUGAACUGUGCAGAUCAGGCACGGUGAAUACCAAGGAACCAAGGAGACGGUAAGAUCUCCACCCACGGUCUGUUUUAGACUUCCCCCAAACUUUCCGAACAGACAUCUAGCUCAGCCCAGCAAGCUAUGGCGGAAGUGUGCAGUCCAGAAGAGACCGUGGAGAAACAAGUCUCCUAAGGCCAUGUAGAUCCGCAACAGGCUGAAUGGGAGCGCUUGGUGUUUAGCGGCCACGUUCUGUGGAGGAGGAUGUGGGCCUCUCGAGACUGCUCUGGUUACUGGAACCUUCUUAGCACACCCCUUCCUACAAGUUUGCACUGAGAGCUGCCUGACAGCUACGAAUGAGGGUGCCUGCCCAUGUUAGUGCUGAUUAGAAAACACAAGUACACACAUCUACUCUUUCACUGCUGGUGUGUGGGACCAGAACACCACCACAAAGUACUUCCUUGGCCUAAGAGAUCACUGAAUUAACAAGGAGCUUUAACAGAAGAACAGGAGUGCUGUACUGAGAGGCUUGCGAAGGGAAACACGGGUCCCGCCAAUUCCGAUGAGUUUCUGAAAAUGCUAGAAAAAUGACAGACCGCUGAAGGCGGCUGUCCUGUUGUUCUCCAUGAUAACGGCACUAAUGUUAAAAAAACAAUAAGAGCUUUUAAUGAUUGCAAUGUAUACAGUUUGGGCCAUUUGGCAAAACCCUGCAGAUGUGUAUUAAUGAUGCUUUAUUUAAAAACAAAAACCAAAACAGUCCAUGUUGGAAUCGAUCAGGGUAAGUUAAAUGGUGGUUUUUUAGGCUGGACCCAUGAUUUAAGCUGUACCCAUCCAGCUCGGACAAAAAAAAAAAAAAAAAA